GGGAAAAAUCCCACUUUCAUUACGUUCAGCAGUGGCAACGCCAGCAAUAACCAAGAAGAAAUCACUAAUUCACGCAGUGCCUCCAUCUCCAUCUGAGAAAUCUCAUUGCUUCACCAAGAAAAAACCAUCCCAAAUUCCCCAGAAAGCCAAUGUUCUAGCCUCCACUGGAACCCAACAACAAAGGCCCCUCUUCAAGUCUCCGGAACUCGAUGACGCCAAGAAACUCUUCAAUUCAUUCAUUUCCACCUCCCGGGUUCCUCUCGAUCUCCGCUUCCACAAUUCUUUUCUCCAAUCCUACGCCUCAAUUUCCACCAUUGAUAACUCCAUCUCUCUCCUCAACCACAUGGUCAAAACUCUCCCUUCCUUCAUCCCUGACCGAUCCACUUACCAUAUUUUGCUCUCCCAGUCCUGCAGAACAACUGCUCCCUCCCUUUCCCCUGUUCACCAGACUCUCAAUCUUAUGGUCAAUAAUGGGUUUAAGCCCAAUCAAGUUACUGUUGAUAUUGCAGCACGCUCUCUGUGCUCUGUUGGUCGAGAAGAUGACGCUGUUGAAUUGGUAAAAGAAUUAUCCUUAAAGCACUCCAAGCCUGAUACUUUCACCUAUAAUUUUCUUGUUAAGUGCUUGUGCAAGUGUAGGGCAUUGAGUAAUGUUUAUAAUUUUAUCGAUGAAAUGAGGUCUUCAUUUGAUAUAACGCCUGAUCUUGUUACUUAUACUAUUUUAAUUGAUAAUGUUUGUAAUUCUAAAAAUCUCCGUGAGGCUACAAGAUUGGUCGGUGUAUUAAAAGAGUGUGGAUUUAAGCCCGAUUGCUUUGUCUAUAAUACAAUUAUGAAGGGUUACUGUAUGUUGAGUAGAGGAAGUGAGGCCAUUGAGGUUUAUAACAAAAUGAAGGAAGAAGGAGUGGAGCCUGAUCUUGUUACAUAUAAUACUUUGAUUUUUGGGUUAUCAAAAUCUGGAAGAGUGAGUGAAGCUAGAAAGUACCUGAAAAUCAUGGUUGAAUCAGGUCAUUUUCCUGAUGCAGUUACUUACACUUCGUUGAUGAAUGGGAUGUGUAGAAAAGGGAAUGCAUUGGGUGCAUUGGCAUUGCUAGCGGAGAUGAAAGAAAAAGGCUGCAGUCCAAACUCGUGCACUUAUAAUACAUUGCUUCAUGGGUUAUGCAAGGGGAGAUUGUUGGAUAAAGGCAUCAAGUUGUAUCUAGUGAUGAAGGAAGGUGACAUGAAGCUUGAGACAGCUUCAUAUGCUACAUUUGUAAGGGCCCUUUGCAGGGAAGGUAAGGUUGCAGAGGCUUAUGAGGUGUUUGAUUAUGCAGUAGAGAGUAAGAGUUUAACUGACAUUGCUGCUUACUUGACAUUGGAGAGUACGCUGAAGUGGCUGAAGAAAGCCAGAGAGCAAGGCCUAGCUGUUUAACUGGUAUUUUCUUCAUUACAUUAUUAAUUCUCUUUGCUUACAGUUAAAAUUUUCUUAUCUUGGGAAAUUGGCUAGUUAACCAUAAAUAUUUUGAAGUUGAGGCUGUGCUGCUCAAGCUUGUCAGUCAAAAAAUAUAUACGCUCCAUUUGAAACAAUUCUUAUGUUAGAAUUUAAAACAAUCCCAAUAAUUAUAUGAUAGAAUUUACAUGUUUGAAAUAAAUUUUAAUGUAAUAGAGUUCAUUUGAAUUCCAAUUUUUGGAACAAUUGUUAGUUUUCCAAUAGAAUUGAACUGAAUUGAGUUCUUGCUUUUUGUUUCUUGAGAUGUCCAAAUGCGUUGUUAAGCACCUGCUCAUCAACCUUGAAAAUUAAGAAUGACUGAGAUAGAUAAUAUGGUUUAUUAAUUUAUCGUAUGUUGAUAUCUAGGGGAAUAUAAUUGUUGGAAAUGAUUUAAUUUUAUACCACAUUAGUUAAUUUAAAAUUUUGCCAGUCAGUAGGGAAAUAACAAGUAUAUCAGUAGUAAAUGAAUAGAUCAAGUGCUAGAGCACUGCUUGAAGGUUGGCACUUUUGUUUCCAUAAAUCCUUGUCACUUAAAAUUUUCUUAAUCAAUGUUUAGAUGAUUUUUAUUACUUGCAGCUUGACUGCCUAUUCAUGAAUUAUGAUAGUCAAUAGUCUACACUUAUAGUCUGAUUCAUAAAGGAAUUUUUGCGCUGAUCAUCCUAGUUCCUUCAAGUUUUGCUUAGUGCUUGUCUAUCAAUUUUUUUACUCCUAAAAGGGCAAGGAUGCUGUGUCUCUUGUCCAGUGAAACCAUUUGGUCUCAUAUGAACUGUUUCUUCUUUUGUAUGUUUAGGUGUAUAGGGCACUUCUGUAUGUUUUUCAUUUUUGGGUGUCUCUGUUCUCUUAGUUUCCUUCUUUCCUAUUUAUUUUUUUUGUCCUUCCUUUUUCUUUUGUACUUACAUCCUUUCAUCCUUUCUGUUUUGUCUCUUUGUGUGUGUUUUCUUCCUGGGUUUGUAGGCCUGAUGAUACUCCUGGGGAUGGAGUUUACUAUCAUCAGCUCUCCUGAGAUAUAGGUUUGGAAGGUUCUUGGUUUGAGUUGUUGACAACCUUUCAUUGUUCAGAAAAAGAGUAAUGGAUGGCUUUACACUUGGAUGUUCUUCCUAAACAAUAUAAGCAUAUAAUACAAACUCUCCUUGUCGAAACUGCUGUGGCUAAGGAUAUGAACUUAUUUAUGAUACUCCUUGAAGCUGUCAAGGCAUAUGAACUUUUGCUUGGUGUGUAGAGGGAGAUAUUCAGCUGCCUCUCAUCGAAGACUGUACAAGCUGCCAGUUGCGACUGCAAGUUGGGUAAUUGUCCCUUAAUGAAGGAAUUUUAAUACUAAGUUACAUUGAAGUCAUCUGCAUAGUGCAUCACCAAGUUAGUGCUAUCUUUUCUUUGUUGUUGAUUGGCUGAUGUGAAAUCACCCGAUGCACCAUCUAGUUUUGGUAGAAAUAGAUUUUUCCUUGGAAUACAAAACUUGUUCCCUUCCCAUAUUCGUUUGUUAUCCUUCUGUCCCAAGAAAUGAUACAUCAGACCAGAAAUUGUAACAGAGCAUGACUAUAUAAUGAAAUAAAAAUGUAAUAAAGCAAUUAUUCUAUUGCAUUUCAAAGCAACACAUUUACGCCCAAUGUAGCAUGGGUAAUGCAUAAAUCUAGUAUGAUAAUGGUAGGAAGAGUUGAUGUAAGAUCUAACGUUUCAAGGGUUUAUUCGUCUACACCAAAGCUUAUGCCAGGAACCGUCAAGCUAAAUACGCUUUGAGAACAUUGAUAUCUUCUGCGGUUCUACCUCAACUAGUUAACGUUCCUACUUUUUGUUCUGGGAGAGCUGGAUAAUUUAUGUGAAAAAUUAAGAACUAGUUAUCUGAGGCUAGCUUAAUUGGUUUUCUUGCAAGUUGUUGGUGGGGAAUUUCGACAUAAGUCCUUACCUAAUGUCUCUAAAGAAGAGGCAGCAGCAGCAGCAGCUACUUUUGUGACAAUGACACUUUGUUUUAGGCCAGUGUGCCUCCGACAGAGGUUCCAUGGC
This 3460-nucleotide unclassified non-coding RNA is filed under the name Hevea brasiliensis (rubber tree). Lineage: Eukaryota; Viridiplantae; Streptophyta; Magnoliopsida; Malpighiales; Euphorbiaceae. The record is from RNAcentral.